Molecule: ribosomal RNA, 465 nt
Filed under: uncultured bacterium
Lineage: Bacteria
Description: partial 16S ribosomal RNA
Rfam family: Bacterial small subunit ribosomal RNA
Source: RNAcentral
CCUACGGGAGGCAGCAGUGGGGAAUAUUGCGCAAUGGGCGAAAGCCUGACGCAGCGACGCCGCGUGAGGGAUGAAGGUCUUCGGAUCGUAAACCUCUUUCAGCAGGGAAGAACGGUCACUGUGCUAAUCAGCAGUGAAUUGACGGUACCUGCAAAGGAAGCACCGGCUAACUCCGUGCCAGCAGCCGCGGUAAUACGGAGGGUGCGAGCGUUAAUCGGAAUUACUGGGCGUAAAGGGCUAGUAGGCGGUAUGUCAAGUCAAGGGUGAAAUCCCCGCGCUCAACGUGGGAACUGCCUUUGAAACUGGCAGACUGGAGUGUGUGAGAGGAUAGUGGAAUUCCAGGUGUAGGAGUGAAAUCCGUAGAUAUCUGGAGGAACAUCAGUGGCGAAGGCGACUAUCUGGCACAUAACUGACGCUGAGGAGCGAAAGCGUGGGUAGCAAACAGGAUUAGAUACCCCAGUAGUC